RNAcentral lists this transfer RNA (71 nucleotides) under Minisyncoccota bacterium. Its description in RNAcentral is "tRNA-Gln". It matches the Rfam family "tRNA". From Rfam's summary of the family: Transfer RNA (tRNA) molecules are approximately 80 nucleotides in length. Their secondary structure includes four short double-helical elements and three loops (D, anti-codon, and T loops). Lineage: Bacteria; Bacillati; Minisyncoccota. The record is from RNAcentral.
UGCCCUGUAGUGAAAUGGCAUCACCACACACUCUGAAUGUGUUAUUUUAGGUUCGAAUCCUAACAGGGCAU